AAACGUAGGAGGCGAGCGUUAUCCGGAUUUACUGGGCGUAAAGCGUGUGUAGGCGGUUUGUAUAAGUUGGAUGUGAAAGCUCCUGGCUUAACUGGGAGAGGUCGUUCAAAACUAUCAGACUUGAGAGUGGUAGAGGGAGGUGGAAUUCCGCAUGUAGUGGUGAAAUGCGUAGAUAUGCGGAGGAACACCAGUGGCGAAAGCGGCCUCCUGGCCCAUUUCUGACGCUCAGACACGAAAGCUAAGGUAGC
RNAcentral lists this ribosomal RNA (248 nucleotides) under uncultured bacterium. Its description in RNAcentral is "partial 16S ribosomal RNA". It matches the Rfam family "Bacterial small subunit ribosomal RNA", at positions 523 to 769 of the family's 1533-position model. The record is from RNAcentral.